This 253-nucleotide ribosomal RNA is filed under the name uncultured bacterium. Its description in RNAcentral is "partial 16S ribosomal RNA". It matches the Rfam family "Bacterial small subunit ribosomal RNA", at positions 524 to 776 of the family's 1533-position model. The record is from RNAcentral.
GACAGAGGGUGCAAACGUUGCUCGGAAUUACUGGGCGUAAGGCGCAUGUAGGUGGUCACGCAAGUCAGGUGUGAAAGCCCAGGGCUCAACCCUGGAAGUGCACAUGAUACUACGUGGCUGGAGUACUGAAGAGGAGAGCGGAAUUCCCGGUGUAGAGGUGAAAUUCGUAGAUAUCGGGAGGAACACCAGUGGCGAAGGCGGCUCUCUGGGCAGAUACUGACACUGAGACGCGAAAGCGUGGGUAGCAAACAGG